This is a long non-coding RNA of Bos taurus (domestic cattle), 862 nucleotides long. Lineage: Eukaryota; Metazoa; Chordata; Mammalia; Artiodactyla; Bovidae. The record is from Ensembl.
CCACUAUUCCUGUCCCUGGUUUUCCGCGAAUGCUGCCCCCUUACCCUGGCUUCAUUUUUCAAGAUUCAAGUCCAGCGUCAUUUCCUGGAAAAGACUCCUCUCUGCAGCUGCUGAGUCACGCUUGGACCCUCAAAUGUAACCCCGAAUAUCAGCAGCAGACCCCCCCACCCCUGGGGGAAAAGUCUCCAAUCAGAGAUCCUCUGAGGCGAGCCAAGAGCGGUUUUGGAGGGAGCAGCGCAUAUUUUGAGCCUCAACUGUGUACUUCUGAGACAGACUGGGACCUGCGAAGAAAAGGCCAAAACCCAACUGCCACUCUUGAGGUGCAGGAGCAAAAGCAGGGGACUGAGCUUGCACCACAGCACCAUCAAGCGGAUGAGCAGACCACCUAAGCCAGCCCUGAAGCCCGAACCACCGAUGGGCCCCUAUGCUCACCCCAUUUAAGAGACUGGCCCAAAUCAACCCCCCACCCCCUGCCACCCCUCAUCAGGGAGCAAGCAAGGGAAACUGUUUCUUGUUCUCAUGCCCUCCUGCUGUAAUUGAGUCCCAAUAAAGCCUUGCCUGAAGUCCUUGUCUGGACACCCCUGAGCAACUUAACAAUAAGAGACCAAGAACCCACGUCAGUUAACACUUCCAGUUCUUGCUUUCAAUUCUCCUCUGGCCCUAAAUCCUAUCCACACAAAAAUCUCCUCUCUUCUACCCAGCCUUUCCAAGCUCUCUGAGGCCAUAGCAUGGUGCUUUUCCUUCUGAUUGAGCAGAACUUCUCUGAUGUAAUAUGUACACGUGACAUUUAAGCAAUUCGGGGUUGUUCGUGAUAAUUGUUUUAGUGUUUUGUAUUUGUGGUGAGGUUGUAAACUCAAGGGAC